This 2131-nucleotide long non-coding RNA is filed under the name Gallus gallus (chicken). Lineage: Eukaryota; Metazoa; Chordata; Aves; Galliformes; Phasianidae. The record is from RNAcentral.
CCUUGUUUGCUCGGUUAUAUAUUAUUUACUAAAUCGUUGCCCUGCGGAUAAACCUUGUAAAGUUGCUUUAAAAAAGUUAUUUGUUUGAUAAUUAAGUCCUGAAAACCCAUCGUUUAAUGAUUAUUCCGAACCCAUAAGGCAGAGAACCUCCAUGACGUUUUUCUCUAAGUUUAAUUACCGUAUGCUAAUUUCCUUGCCUACUACGUGAUUAAUUAAAAUCAUAUUUUCAUAAUCAUUUGGCACUAGUAUUGUUUUAGAAUUAUCAUGAUCCCCUAAAUAGUGUAUGUAAAUAAAGUCGGCUCUAAUGGAAAGAAUCAAAAUGCAACGCUGAGGACCUUUAUGUGUUUGUAUGCAUGCGAUUGGCAACAUAACUGGCUUAUUUACAUUAAAUACGCCACAAGGUUACAGUGCAGAUCAACGUCACUUUAUCGCUGAUUACUUCUCUUAACCGCCGGAGCGGUGACUGAUGCUCCGGUCCCCCGUCCGCCCAGCUUUCCCCGGGAGUUUUUUUCGGGAGCCGCAGACUUUGCACACUUUCGGAUCAGUUGCGACCUUCAGUACCUAUCCUGUGUCUUUUAAGGACUUCCUCAGCCAGGGAACACAUUCGUUGGUUUAAGAGUAACUGUAAAGAGUCUGCAAGAGCUUCCAUCAUCCAUCGAUAGAAGAAUUAAACUUUGCUGCACUCCAGCUAGCUAGAUGGGGAAACUGAGGCAAAGAGGUUAAAGGGCCUCUUUCAGCCACGGAGUGUGUUGAUGUCUGUUCCUGCUCCCUAGACAUGUGCACAGACUACUAGACUUCACUGCUCUGGCAGCAGCAGGGAAGUGGGACGCCCCUUUGGCAAUCUGUCAGUGCCAACCUGAGCUGCAUCCAUUUGCUGGGUAUUUUCUAAGCUGACUGACAGUCCUUAAAACAAGUAUGCAGUUAAGCUGCUAAGGUAAGAUUUGCUAUAUUAGCAUACUUUACACCAUAUAUUAAGCCAUAAAUGGAUCAUCCUGUUAUGCUUUAGGGUCCCCGUCCUGAAAUUUCUCAGUCAAGUGAAUAUCUCCUCAAGAAACAGUUCCUGUUACACUCUCACUUCCCCCACCCCCAUCUCUUUCAUUUAAGAAUUGCAUUUGGGAGGUGCGGGUGCUCUGUGUGCAUGAGAACUGCAGACAUAGGCUUAUGUCAAGUCAUUGGAGUCCCUUCAAACUUCUGAAUUAAUAUAUGGAUGAUUAAACAAAAUGUUUGCCUCUCUGUCUUGUAUUCAUGGAUUUUUUUUCAGGGUUUUGGGGGAAAGAAACCGAAGCCCCCUGUGUCACGUAGUAGCAGGUCAAGCCUUUUUGGUAUAUCAGGGUCAGGGAGCUGUGCAAAGUUUCCUAGCAAAUAAGUCUAACCCAUUAGUUCAAAAAUAUUGAGGAGCAGUUAACGUAUUCUAGUUCCAAGAAACCACUGCUGUUAUUUUGAGUAGUUUUGAUACAACCAAAUCAAAGUGAAGAUUUGAAAUAGCUUUUCUGAAAGCCCAAGCCGAAGUCAUAAAUUAUUCUACACCAUGAUUCGUUCAGAUAGUAAAACCAUACCUCUUUGCCUGACAUUACUGAAAUGUAGAAAAGGGAAAGUUAAAAAUAAAAUGAAACAUUUAAAUCUUUGCUGUUGAGAACCUCAGAUAGAUGGCAAUAUAGCAAAGUUGAUAAAAGCGAUUCUCAAUUAGACUUUAUUAUUAUUUUAUUAAGGUAUUAUUAAUAAACAUCAGGGUGCAGCAGGCGUUAACACUAUCCUGGUAUUAGACAAGUGGACACUGAAGAAAAAUAAAGGCAAGUUGCCUGUAAUGAGAAAAAGUAGAAGGACGUGUCUAAACUGCAAAUGACAUGAAAAGCAGAAAUAUCAUAUAUUUGUCCUUCAGGCCUGAUCCUGUGGCCUUUUGUUGUGUAGUGAGUUCUGUUAAGUUGCGCAUAACCAGUCAUGAAUAAGCUCUAGUUCUCUGAGUCAAGGCUACUUGACUAUUUCCCAAGAGAACAGGUAGAACAUUUUGUUGUGUAUGUACAUAUACAUAUAUAUAUAUAUAUUGUUUCUUUCAUUAAGCCCAGUAAAUGCGCAUUGCUGUCUCUUUUCAGUGAGCUUUUACAGACGUAUCUCUUUCUCUUUAAAAAUAAAU